UGAAGCUCGGGAACUUUCUGCUGUCAUGACCUUGAGAGCUCCUUGUGAAGGUCAGGAACUUUCUGCUGUCAUGACCUUGAGAGCUCUUGUGAAGGUCAGGAACUUUCUGCUGCCAUGAUCUCGAGGCUCUUGAAGUCAGGAACUUUCUACUCUCAGGAUCUUGAGAACUCCUUUUGUAACGCAUUCGUUUCAUCCUCAUCAUUAGCAGAAAGUAGAAUAGCUGUGUUUUGUUCACAAGGCAGCAGAUUAAUGCUUUUGGAUUUCUAGGACUUAAGGCAAAGAGAGUUUGCUGACAUGUCUCUUUUGUUGUACCUGUUCAUGUUUAGUACUGUGUAAUUACUGUAAACUUACAAUUCCUUUAAGGUGAUAAUCAUCGUGUGUAACAGAUAAUGGAUAUUUAGACAAUAACCAAAGAGGCAUGAAGAAAUCAAGAUUUUCCCUCCCAAGUGAAUAAAUGGUGUUAAUCCCACGCAUUUGGA
Haliotis rubra (blacklip abalone) is the source of this 479-nucleotide long non-coding RNA. RefSeq lists it as uncharacterized. Lineage: Eukaryota; Metazoa; Mollusca; Gastropoda; Lepetellida; Haliotidae. The record is from RefSeq and is a predicted model, not a curated record. The transcript is spliced from 2 exons.